AGGCCGUGACUUGAAACUGAUAUUCAUUGUGUAACCUUUUUUAUUCUCUUGCAGAGUGUCGUUUGGGAGAACAGGUUGGCCCUCCAGCUCAUCAAGUGAGGCCAAAUCCUGGAAUUGAAAUAAAGACCAUGAAUUGACACAGACAGAAAGGGGAAAACUCGAAUGAACUGACAGAUUUUGCAAUGUGUACAGAAGGUCAACAAAUAUGAGGCUUGCUCAUCUGAAAACAACGUAAAUUCCAGAGUUGAAGGUCUGGCGUUAAGUUCAUCGUAUGCCAUGAAAAACCAGCCAAGGCAAGGAUGUGAAUUACAAACAACAUGCAGCACCAGUGAGUCAGUCCUAGUUUAACAUGAGCUAACCUGUCUUAUUCACUACAAAUGUUAGUUACCAAUCUAUACCUGGAAAACUUUUAAAAUUUGGAGUAACAAAAAGAAACGUUGAACUACCUGACAAGCAGUGCUGCAAAGGACGUCCUUUUUAGCAGAAUGCCAGGUCAGUGGCGUCUUUUUCCAACUACAGCAGGUGAACUUCCCUCUGUGCUAAGCAUU
Molecule: long non-coding RNA, 548 nt
Filed under: Apteryx rowi (Okarito brown kiwi)
Lineage: Eukaryota; Metazoa; Chordata; Aves; Apterygiformes; Apterygidae
Description: lncRNA (ENSARWG00000017577.1)
Source: RNAcentral